This 237-nucleotide unclassified non-coding RNA is filed under the name Hevea brasiliensis (rubber tree). The record is from RNAcentral. Lineage: Eukaryota; Viridiplantae; Streptophyta; Magnoliopsida; Malpighiales; Euphorbiaceae.
GAAAAUAGUUGAUUGAAAAAAUUGUAGAAUCAAUAAGUUCUGCAUGAUAAUAAUUAUACUUAAAAUUAUAGUAGGAUUAACUUAUAAAAGGGAUAAUAAAUGCAAGAAGAAGGGCAUGACCAAGACUACGUUAUAAUAGAAAUAUAGGAAGUUCAUGGUCCCCCUCCCUCUGCCAUUGGUUGUGUGCUUGUGUUAUGCCAUAGAAAGACUAGCAUGUGUUUACAUGUGUUGCCUGAG